UUCUACAUCUACAACUAAGGGAUAGUAGUACUAGUACAUAGCAAGUAGCAUACACUUUCAAAUAAUUGUUAAAUUUUAUCCUUUAAAAUAUUUUAUGCUAGCAUGAGUUUAUUUAAUUAGUUACUGAGGUUGGACAAGAAGCAUGAGUCCAACCAAAAUAUGCAACUAUUGGAACACAAAGGAAGAUACUACAUGAAGAACUAUUAAAACAUAGAAAGCAAAGGAUUAUACUAUAUAUCUUGGGACACACACAUUCACUAGAAGCAAAUACAAUAGUGUAAAAUGUUGCACAGGUCAUAGUUAGUUAACAGAAGAACAUCAUUCUAUAAAUAGGCCUUUGAAAAAGCAAAUAUGUUAGUUCCCUAUAGAUUUGCAGGAGAUUCCAAGUGAAUACAACACGAAUAAAAUUAACUAUUUGCUUUAGUAAUGCAGUCUUGUCCAUUAAAGACAGCCGAUGUUGUAAAUGAAGUAGUGUUUGUAUAGGUUUAGAGUGAGAUUGCCUUUUCUGAUGGCAUAUGAAUCAGUUCAUUCUGGCAUUGAUGAGAGAGCUUCUCCUAAUUUGCUUCAAGAGCAGGUAGAAUUUAUGAAAGCUAAAAUAUCAAGGACAAAAGAAAUAAUCUAUUGCGAAAGUGCAAGUUUUUUGUACAGAUUUAGAGUCAGAUGGUCUUUAGUAAUAGCACAUGCAUUCAUUCAUAUUGACACUCAGACUGACAUUAAAAUUAACUGACCUAGAUGCAACAAAAGAGCAAUAAAUUUAUUUCUAAGAGAAAUACAAUUGUCUACACCUAUGGCAUACUAAAGCCUUUCCUACCAACACAAAAUGAAUGCUUAGAGGAUUCAAAGAAUAAGAAAGUGAUUCACCUAUGGCCAAUCAUGAAGCG
Molecule: unclassified non-coding RNA, 881 nt
Filed under: Hevea brasiliensis (rubber tree)
Lineage: Eukaryota; Viridiplantae; Streptophyta; Magnoliopsida; Malpighiales; Euphorbiaceae
Source: RNAcentral